Molecule: long non-coding RNA, 2417 nt
Organism: Thunnus maccoyii (southern bluefin tuna)
Lineage: Eukaryota; Metazoa; Chordata; Actinopteri; Scombriformes; Scombridae
Exons: 3
Source: RefSeq, a predicted model, not a curated record
AUAAAGUGGUAGAGACCAACUAAUGGUGUAACUGAUUAGCCUCAGUUUGUUCUACAACACAACUGCACAGUAGCUGCAUCACGCAUGUAACGGAAGGUAUUGCAGUGCAGUCAUGGAUGUAUAAAGAGAAGUAAAAGUAAAGUUAAGACGUAAAGUUGUAAGUUGUAAAGUAAAGUUAGUUAAAGUCUUAAAGUCUAAAAGUUAAAUACGGCGAGAUAGCUAGGUUAUGUUAGCUAAGCUAGCUUAAGCUUAAUACAUUCGCUAUAUGCUAUAUGUAACUCAUAAAUGUUAGCAUACCAUUACCUAAAGGCUAACUUUAGGUUAGCUAAAGUUGUAAAGUAAAGUUCUCUUUAUAUAUCCAUGAGUGCAGUUAGUAAGCAAAUUUUUAUCAAUAUCAGUAUAAGACAAUUUGGUUCAUCCUGAUAUUAUGAUGGAAGUAAGUUAGCUUCAAACUUUCAGUAAACCAAACACCUAGAAAAUGGAAUAAAAAGCAGGUAAUGUUAGCUAAGCUAGCUUUAGCUUAAUACAUUUGCUAUAUACUAUAUGUAGCCCAUAAAUGUUAGCAUACCAUUACCUAAAGGCUAAUUUUAGCUGCUAUCUAACUGCUGUUGAAAAGGUUGUUAGACUAUAUUCUGCAGAUUUUUGUAUCAUUGUGGGGAUUAAUUUAAUCUAUUGACUCUCAAGCACUUUGCUAAACCCUCAUUUAUACCAUAGUAUAACAUGCUGCUACACUGUGGUACAAAAUCCAGACCUUGCCGGUGCAAUAUGUUUUUUUGUGUGUAAUAUCAUCUUCCAGCUGCUGCACCAGUACUUAAAAGUGCUGUGAUGGCAUCGUUCCUAUUUGACUUCUACAAAGACCAAAAAAACAGAAUGGAUUCUGUUUUACCAACUGAAAAGGAGGUUUGAGCCAUGAAGGUCCUGCCUUGCCAAGAUUUAGGAAAUUUAUGGUGUUCCUAAUAAAAUGCUCGGUGAGUAUAAAGCAGGUUGAGGAUGUAUGGAAGCACCUGAGUGAGACCACCCUCUGCUGUAGAGGAGAUGAACUACACCUGAAUGACACCAGAGUCAAGGGAAGGAAAUGACAAGUGUGUGUGUUUGUGUGUGUGUGUGUGUGUGUGUGUAUCUUGUUGAUAAGCACGGCCUUGUCUCGACUCAUACAGUUCCUCAUCAUGUGGUUUUAAUAACAAAGUGUUUUUUUCUGUUGAGUUGACGGUAAUUUAUGUCUUCCUGCUUUCAAACUGUGAGAAAAAACUGCCUCCUGCACAAAAUAAUACUCUCAGGACACUCUGCUACACAACACACACACACAAAACAGACUCCAUAUGCUUCACUGUGAACAUAUACACCAUGUACCCGACUGUGUGUGUGUUUGGAGGGACCGGGGGGCCACCCAGCUGUUGACCAGCCCAGACAGAGAAGUUGUUAUCUAGGCAGCCACAGCCCUGGAGGAAGGGCUACCUAAAUUAUUUGUGGAUAAAUGCACAAAGAAAGAGAGUUCAACAUCUGCUGUGUGCAUUAGUGACAUGUAGAAACGAUCAAAUUAAUAUCCGUUGUUAACCAAAUGCAGGCAGAGUGAAUGUGACUCUAUCUGUAGUGUUUCAGAUCCUAUAAUACAUCACCUGGCGCCUUCAUCACAAAGCAACAACUUAGUCCGUCUCUAUUUGGGUCACCUGGCUUCACUGAGCCUAACGCUGGUGAUUCUUGAUAGAGAACGGAGAUACAUACCUGCAGGGAACUUUUAAUAUUGCAUCAACAAAAACCUGUUCAGCAUGGUGAAAUAUACACAAUAUAAUCACACAACUAGAACUGAAGAAGAGGCUCUAGAAACAUUAUUUUAUUUAACCUUUAACCAGAAGUAAAAGACUCUUUUUGGCACAAACAAGAUAUAAAACAAACAUAAUUUAAAAUGAGAACAAAGAACAAAUUACAGAAUUUCAAAAUAUCAAAAAACAUUAAUCGACAUUCAAAACAUCAUUUAGAAUCACAUUAAAUGCGUCCAAUGAGAGCAGCUCCCCAAGAUUCAGGUCAUUUUGCAACUGAUUCAAAGCUGAGGGAGCAGUUAGUAUGUAAACGCUCUUUUUCCCAGUUCAGUACGAAUUUAGGGACAGUUAGUAGGAAUAAAUCCUGGGAGCAAAGACAAUAACUUCCCAUAUUUUUUUGUAGGAUGUUGAUCCAUCAGUAGGAAGGAAGCAGUCCAAGAACAGCCUCAUAAAUAAGAAUAUACCAAUCGUUAAGACGAGGCAGCCCGUCCAACCUGAGUAUACAAAGAUCUGAACAUAAGACUAAAGCUUACUACAAAGAGUGUUCAUAAGUGUAGUGAGUAUGGAAGAGUUGAAAAUUAGCAAUAGCUAUAAACUCUCUGUGCAGUACAUCAGUUUCAUGCUCUGUAUCGGAACUAUGUUAAAUUGCAUCGUCCCUAU